GACUUCGGUCUCUGAGUAGAGCGGCGCACGGGUGAGUAACGCGUGGAUGAUCUACCCUUGAGUUCGGGAUAACGGUGCGAAAGCGCCGCUAAUACCGUAUAACAAUCCAUUUCAUCGUGGGUUCAAAGCAGGCCUCUUCAUGAAAGCUUGCGCUUGGGGAUGAGUCCGCGUCCCAUUAGCUUGUUGGCGGGGUAACGGCCCACCAAGGCUACGAUGGGUAGCUGGUCUGAGAGGAUGAUCAGCCACGCUGGAACUGAAACACGGUCCAGACUCCUACGGGGGGCAGCAGUGGGGAAUAUUGCGCAAUGGGGGAAACCCUGACGCAGCGACGUCGUGUGAGGGAAGAAGGCCUUCGGGUCGUAAACCUCUGUCAGAAGGGAAGAACAUCCGGGAGUCGAACAGCCUCCCGGCCUGACGGUACCUUCAGAGGAAGCGCCGGCUAACUCCGUGCCAGCAGCCGCGGUAAUACGGAGGGCGCAAGCGUUAAUCGGAAUCACUGGGCGUAAAGCGUGCGUAGGCUGUUUGAUAAGUCAGACGUGAAAUCCCUCGGCUCAACCGGGGAACUGCGUUUGAUACUGUUGAACUAGAGUCCUGGAGAGGGUGGCGGAAUUCCUGGUGUAGGAGUGAAAUCCGUAGAUAUCAGGAGGAACACCGGUGGCGAAGGCGGCCACCUGGACAGGUACUGACGCUGAG
RNAcentral lists this ribosomal RNA (693 nucleotides) under uncultured bacterium. RNAcentral describes it as "bacterial SSU rRNA". It matches the Rfam family "Bacterial small subunit ribosomal RNA", at positions 76 to 750 of the family's 1533-position model. The record is from RNAcentral.